GAUGAACGCUGGCGGCGUGCCUAAUACAUGCAAGUCGAGCGAACGGACGAGAAGCUUGCUUCUCUGAUGUUAGCGGCGGACGGGUGAGUAACACGUGGAUAACCUACCUAUAAGACUGGGAUAACUUCGGGAAACCGUAGCUAAUACCGGAUAAUAUUUUGAACCGCAUGGUUCAAAAGUGAAAGACGGUCUUGCUGUCACUUAUAGAUGGAUCCGCGCUGCAUUAGCUAGUUGGUAAGGUAACGGCUUACCAAGGCAACGAUGCAUAGCCGACCUGAGAGGGGGAUCGGCCACACUGGAACGGAGACACGGUCCAGACUCCUACGGGAGGCAGCAGUAGGGAAUCGUCCGCAAUGGGCGAGAGCCUGACGGAGCAACGCCGCGUGAGUGAUGAAGGUCUUCGGAUCGUAAAACUCUGUUAUUAGGGAAGAACAUAUGUGUAAGUAACUGUGCACAUCUUGACGGUACCUAAUCAGAAAGCCACGGCUAACUACGUG
This 497-nucleotide ribosomal RNA is filed under the name uncultured bacterium. Its description in RNAcentral is "partial 16S ribosomal RNA". It matches the Rfam family "Bacterial small subunit ribosomal RNA", at positions 28 to 507 of the family's 1533-position model. The record is from RNAcentral.